AUGGAAGGAGCUGUGGGUGUGUGGGCAUGGUGGCUGGGCCUCCUGUUCGGCGCUGUCCCGCUGCUCUGCCUCACCGUCUGGCACUCCACCGACGCGUGGCACUGCGCCGCCUUCGCUCUCAAACACGGCGGCCGUCGCCUCCCGCCGGGCCACAUGGGGGUCCUCUUUCUUGGCGAGACGCUCUCGCUGCUCUGGUACUUCAAGCUGGCCCGCCGCCCGGACGACUUCAUCGGCGCCAAGAAGAGCGCAUACGGCAGCGGGGCGGUGGACAGCCAGGAUACCCGGACCGGGGUGCAGGUGUUGUACAAAUCCACGUCCUCCCCCAGCAUCGUCGCCUGCUCGCCGGCCGCGAACAAGUUCGUGCUCCAGUCAGCCGAAAGCUUCGGCAUCAGGUGGCCGGUGCCGGAGCUCGUCGGCAUCACGUCGGUGGUGAACGUGGAGGGCAGCAGCCACGCCAGACUCCGUGGGUUCAUCCUCGCCGCCAUCAACCGGCCCAGCUCGCUCCAGACCAUCGCCACCGUUGUGCAACCGCGUGUAGUAGCGGCGCUGGGAACGUGGGCGGAUAAGGGUACCAUCGUCGCAGCCACAGAGAUUAAAAAAAUGACGUUUGCCAACAUCUGCAAGAUGUUCAUAAGCAUGGAGCCAUCGCCUUUGACAGACAAGAUCGAUCAGUGGUUCGGCGACUUGCUUUAUGGUCUGAGGGCAUACCCCUUUGAUUUUCCAGGGACAGCAUCUCACGGUGCUCGAAAAAUUUGGUCUCAUUCCUCUGAGGAAUUUAAUGGUAUGCAGAGUCGCCGGAAGCUAGACGCGAUCUUCCGAGAGGAUCUGGAGGCAAGGAAGAAGGUGGACAAGCAAUGUGAUGAUCUAAUGGGCGGUCUGAUGCAGAUGAAGGACGAGCAUGGAAAGAAGUUGAGUAAUGAGGAGGUAGUGGAUAACAUUGUUUCCCUUGUCAUCGCCGGCUACGAGUCCACUACCAUCGCCAUCAUGUGGGCUGUCUACCACCUCGCAAAAUCCCCUAUCGUCCUUGCCAAGCUCCGAGAGGAGAAUAUAGCGAUGAGCAAAAGCAAAGGUGGGUCGACGUCGACAACUUUGAUGAUCACCCACACCGACAUCCCAAAGAUGAAGUACACAGCCAAGGUGGUGGAAGAGACAAUCCGGAUGGCCAACAUUGCCCCCAUGGUCCACCGUGUGGCGAACAGGGACGUGGAGUACCGCGGCUACACCAUACCAAAGGGGUGGGCUGUGCUGGUGUGGUUGAGAUCCUUGCACACUGAUCCCAAUUACUACGAGGAUCCCCUCUCCUUCAAUCCUAACAGAUGGGAUGAACCGGCUAAGGCAGGAACAUACCAGGUGUUUGGAGGUGGCCCUAGGAUCUGCGCAGGCAACAUGCUGGCCAGGCUACAGAUCACCAUCAUCCUGCAUCAUCUCUGCGUCGGCUACGAAUGGGAGUUGCUCAAUCCUGAUGCGGAGAUCAAUUACCUUCCACACCCAAGGCCAGUGGAUGGUGCAGCCAUGGCCUUUCGUAAGCUUAGCACGUGA
RNAcentral lists this ribosomal RNA (1539 nucleotides) under Triticum aestivum (bread wheat). Its description in RNAcentral is "partial small subunit ribosomal RNA". The record is from RNAcentral. Lineage: Eukaryota; Viridiplantae; Streptophyta; Magnoliopsida; Poales; Poaceae.